UAGUUGGCGGGGUAAAGGCCCACCAAGGCGACGAUCCGUAACUGGUCUGAGAGGAUGAUCAGUCACACCGGAACUGAGACACGGUCCGGACUCCUACGGGAGGCAGCAGUGGGGAAUAUUGGACAAUGGGGGCAACCCUGAUCCAGCCAUGCCGCGUGUGUGAAGAAGGCCUUCGGGUUGUAAAGCACUUUAGGUUGGGAGGAAGGUUUCAAGGCUAAUAUCCUUGGAAAUUGACGUUACCGACAGAAUAAGCACCGGCUAACUCCGUGCCAGCAGCCGCGGUAAUACGGAGGGUGCAAGCGUUAAUCGGAAUUACUGGGCGUAAAGCGCGCGUAGGCGGCUCGGUCAGUCGGGUGUGAAAUCCCUGGGCUCAACCUGGGAACUGCAUUCGAUACUGCCGAGCUAGAGUGUGGGAGAGGGUAGUGGAAUUCCCGGUGUAGCGGUGAAAUGCGUAGAUAUCGGGAGGAACAUCAGUGGCGAAGGCGACUGCCUGGCCCAACACUGACGCUGAGGUGCGAAAGCGUGGGUAGCAAACAGGAUUAGAUACCCUGGUAGUCCACGCCGUAAACGAUGUCGACUAGCCGUUGGAGACCUUAGAGUCUUUAGUGGCGAAGCUAACGCGAUAAGUCGACCGCCUGGGGAGUACGGCCGCAAGGUUAAAACUCAAAUGAAUUGACGGGGGCCCGCACAAGCGGUGGAGCAUGUGGUUUAAUUCGAUGCAACGCGAAGAACCUUACCAGGUCUUGACAUCCAGAGAACUUUCCAGAGAUGGAUUGGUGCCGAAAGGAGCUCUGAGACAGGUGCUGCAUGGCUGUCGUCAGCUCGUGUUGUGAAAUGUUGGGUUAAGUCCCGUAACGAGCGCAACCCUUGUCCUUAGUUGCCAGCGCGUAAUGGCGGGAACUCUAAGGAGACUGCCGG
This 918-nucleotide ribosomal RNA is filed under the name uncultured bacterium. RNAcentral describes it as "bacterial SSU rRNA". It matches the Rfam family "Bacterial small subunit ribosomal RNA", at positions 246 to 1155 of the family's 1533-position model. The record is from RNAcentral.